RNAcentral lists this long non-coding RNA (298 nucleotides) under Bos taurus (domestic cattle). RNAcentral describes it as "long non-coding RNA NONBTAT024903". The record is from RNAcentral. Lineage: Eukaryota; Metazoa; Chordata; Mammalia; Artiodactyla; Bovidae.
UCAGAGCUGGGUGAACAGCAGUUUUAUUUUAUCUAGGUUGAGGCAAUUGUGAAUGACUUUUACUGUGCCAUUGCUCUUCAUGGUGGGAUUACAAACAGUGUGAUUAUUCUCGGUGUGUUUGUAUAUACAUCUGUGCAUAUGUGAUGGGCACUGUGUUUAUACAUAAAUGCCUGUAUAUAUACCAUUUGAAAGUCCUUGUCAGGAUUGUUUCUGUUUCUGAUCUGGUCUCUUAAAUACUUUAAAACUCAAGAGGUAAAACAUUGUGUGUAUUAUAGGCAAAACUACCCUUGAGUUUAUG